This 52-nucleotide transfer RNA is filed under the name Argyroneta aquatica (water spider). RNAcentral's name for it is "tRNA-Leu". RNAcentral also lists the same sequence under 1 other name. The record is from RNAcentral. Lineage: Eukaryota; Metazoa; Arthropoda; Arachnida; Araneae; Dictynidae.
AUUUAAAUGGCAGAUAAAUGCAUUAGAAUUAGAAUCUAACAACUCUCAUAUU